GAAUGCUGACAUAAGUAACGAUAAAGCGGGUGAAAAGCCCGCUCGCCGGAAGACCAAGGGUUCCUGUCCAACGUUAAUCGGGGCAGGGUGAGUCGACCCCUAAGGCGAGGCCGAAAGGCGUAGUCGAUGGGAAACAGGUUAAUAUUCCUGUACUUGGUGUUACUGCGAAGGGGGGACGGAGAAGGCUAUGUUGGCCGGGCGACGGUUGUCCCGGUUUAAGCGUGUAGGCUGGUUUUCCAGGCAAAUCCGGAAAAUCAAGGCUGAGGCGUGAUGACGAGGCACUACGGUGCUGAAGCGACAAAUGCCCUGCUUCCAGGAAAAGCCUCUAAGCAUCAGGUAACAUCAAAUCGUACCCCAAACCGACACAGGUGGUCAGGUAGAGAAUACCAAGGCGCUUGAGAGAACUCGGGUGAAGGAACUAGGCAAAAUGGUGCCGUAACUUCGGGAGAAGGCACGCUGAUAUGUAGGUGAAGCGACUUGCUCGUGGAGCUGAAAUCAGUCGAAGAUACCAGCUGGCUGCAACUGUUUAUUAAAAACACAGCACUGUGCAAACACGAAAGUGGACGUAUACGGUGUGACGCCUGCCCGGUGCCGGAAGGUUAAUUGAUGGGGUUAGCGGUAACGCGAAGCUCUUGAUCGAAGCCCCGGUAAACGGCGGCCGUAACUAUAACGGUCCUAAGGUAGCGAAAUUCCUUGUCGGGUAAGUUCCGACCUGCACGAAUGGCGUAAUGAUGGCCAGGCUGUCUCCACCCGAGACUCAGUGAAAUUGAACUCGCUGUGAAGAUGCAGUGUACCCGCGGCAAGACGGAAAGACCCCGUGAACCUUUACUAUAGCUUGACACUGAACAUUGAGCCUUGAUGUGUAGGAUAGGUGGGAGGCUUUGAAGUGUGGACGCCAGUCUGCAUGGAGCCGACCUUGAAAUACCACCCUUUAAUGUUUGAUGUUCUAACGUGGGCCCCUUACCGGGGUUGCGGACAGUGUCUGGUGGGUAGUUUGACUGGGGCGGUCUCCUCCUAAAGAGUAACGGAGGAGCACGAAGGUUGGCUAAUCCUGGUCGGACAUCAGGAGGUUAGUGCAAUGGCAUAAGCCAGCUUGACUGCGAGCGUGACGGCGCGAGCAGGUGCGAAAGCAGGUCAUAGUGAUCCGGUGGUUCUGAAUGGAAGGGCCAUCGCUCAACGGAUAAAAGGUACUCCGGGGAUAACAGGCUGAUACCGCCCAAGAGUUCAUAUCGACGGCGGUGUUUGGCACCUCGAUGUCGGCUCAUCACAUCCUGGGGCUGAAGUAGGUCCCAAGGGUAUGGCUGUUCGCCAUUUAAAGUGGUACGCGAGCUGGGUUUAGAACGUCGUGAGACAGUUCGGUCCCUAUCUGCCGUGGGCGCUGGAGAACUGAGGGGGGCUGCUCCUAGUACGAGAGGACCGGAGUGGACGCAUCACUGGUGUUCGGGUUGUCAUGCCAAUGGCACUGCCCGGUAGCUAAAUGCGGAAGAGAUAAGUGCUGAAAGCAUCUAAGCACGAAACUUGCCCCGAGAUGAGUUCUCCCUGACUCCUUGAGAGUCCUGAAGGAACGUUGAAGACGACGACGUUGAUAGGCCGGGUGUG
This 1599-nucleotide ribosomal RNA is filed under the name Escherichia coli. RNAcentral describes it as "partial 23S ribosomal RNA". It matches the Rfam family "Bacterial large subunit ribosomal RNA", at positions 1292 to 2869 of the family's 2925-position model. Lineage: Bacteria; Pseudomonadati; Pseudomonadota; Gammaproteobacteria; Enterobacterales; Enterobacteriaceae. The record is from RNAcentral.